RNAcentral lists this ribosomal RNA (497 nucleotides) under uncultured bacterium. RNAcentral describes it as "partial 16S ribosomal RNA". It matches the Rfam family "Bacterial small subunit ribosomal RNA", at positions 28 to 507 of the family's 1533-position model. The record is from RNAcentral.
GAUGAACGCUGGCGGCGUGCCUAAUACAUGCAAGUCGAGCGAACAGAUGAGGAGCUUGCUCCUCUGACGUUAGCGGCGGACGGGUGAGUAACACGUGGAUAACCUACCUAUAAGACUGGGAUAACUUCGGGAAACCGGAGCUAAUACCGGAUAAUAUAUUGAACCGCAUGGUUCAAUAGUGAAAGACGGUUUUGCUGUCACUUAUAGAUGGAUCCGCGCCGCAUUAGCUAGUUGGUAAGGUAACGGCUUACCAAGGCAACGAUGCGUAGCCGACCUGAGAGGGUGAUCGGCCAGACUGGAACUGAGACACGGUCCAGACUCCUGCGGGAGGCAGCAGUAGGGAAUCCUCCGCGAUGGACGAAAGCCUGACGGAGCAACGCCGCGUGAGUGAUGAAGGUCUUCGGAUCGUAAAACUCUGUUAUUAGUGAAGAACAAAUGUGUAAGUAACUAUGCACGUCUUGACGGUACCUAAUCAGAAAGCCACGGCUAACUACGUG